AUGGACCAAAUGGUUUGGAAGGUUUGGACCCCUCCGAAAGUCAAGUUCUUUGCUUGGCUCGCGCUUCAAGAUAGGAUCUGGACUGCAGACAUAUUGCAGAGGCGAGGCUGGCCAAACUGUGGCCCUUGUCCCUUGUGCAGAGGGGUGCAGGAGUGCGGUCCCCAUCUAUUCUUCAGAUGCCGCUUCACCCUCAGGCUCUGGAACAUGGUGAUUCAGAAGCUCUGCAUCCACGACGUGGACACGUCCGCAUGGCACUUGUACGACUCCAUCAAGGAAUGGUGGGCGAGUUUGAGCGCCGAGGGCACCGCCAACCGAAAAGUGAAGGCUUCGAUAACCAUGUUGGUUUCAUGGGUGAUCUGGAAUGAGCGUAAUGCAAGGGUGUUUAGACAUAAGUGUGCCCCUCCGCAUGUCUUGCUAAACAAUGUGAUCGAAGAGUCCAACCUUUGGGUUAAAGCCGAGGCGAAAAAUUUAGGGUCUUUCUUAUUGCGAGAGUAA
RNAcentral lists this ribosomal RNA (495 nucleotides) under Triticum aestivum (bread wheat). RNAcentral describes it as "partial small subunit ribosomal RNA". The record is from RNAcentral. Lineage: Eukaryota; Viridiplantae; Streptophyta; Magnoliopsida; Poales; Poaceae.